Molecule: ribosomal RNA, 253 nt
Filed under: uncultured bacterium
Lineage: Bacteria
Description: partial 16S ribosomal RNA
Rfam family: Bacterial small subunit ribosomal RNA
Source: RNAcentral
UACGUAGGGGGCAAGCGUUGUCCGGAUUUAUUGGGCGUAAAGAGUGUGUAGGCGGCCAGGUAGGUCAGCUGUGAAAACUCGAGGCUCAACCUCGAGACGUCGGUUGAAACCGUCUGGCUAGAGUCCGGAAGAGGAGAGUGGAAUUCCUGGUGUAGCGGUGAAAUGCGCAGAUAUCAGGAAGAACACCUAUGGCGAAGGCAGCUCUCUGGGACGGUACUGACGCUGAGACGCGAAAGCGUGGGGAGCGAACAGG